GUAGCUUGCUACCGGACCUAGCGGCGGACGGGUGAGUAAUGCUUAGGAAUCUGCCUAUUAGUGGGGGACAACAUCUCGAAAGGGAUGCUAAUACCGCAUACGUCCUACGGGAGAAAGCAGGGGAUCUUCGGACCUUGCGCUAAUAGAUGAGCCUAAGUCGGAUUAGCUAGUUGGUGGGGUAAAGGCCUACCAAGGCGACGAUCUGUAGCGGGUCUGAG
Molecule: ribosomal RNA, 218 nt
Filed under: Acinetobacter baumannii OIFC137
Lineage: Bacteria; Pseudomonadati; Pseudomonadota; Gammaproteobacteria; Moraxellales; Moraxellaceae
Also listed under: 1 other name
Description: partial 16S ribosomal RNA
Rfam family: Bacterial small subunit ribosomal RNA
Source: RNAcentral